This 1282-nucleotide long non-coding RNA is filed under the name Cyanistes caeruleus (blue tit). RNAcentral describes it as "lncRNA (ENSCCEG00000008109.1)". The record is from RNAcentral. Lineage: Eukaryota; Metazoa; Chordata; Aves; Passeriformes; Paridae.
CUGUCACUGAUCAUCAGAGAUCACGGCCUGCCCUCCACUUCCCCUCACGAGAAAGCUGUACACUGCGAUGAUUCCCCCCUCAGUCCCCUGUUCUUCAAGCUGAACUGACCACGUCACGCCCUUAAAAGCUUCUCUUACCGACGGAGGCCUGAUGCGAGCAGAGGGGUGCUGGGUGCCGCCCAGGGCUGUUGCUGUCUGUCCGGUCCGAUGAGUGUCCGGACCCACGGGCAGCGGGCACGAGAGCGCAGAACCGCGGGACUGACCCAACUCGAACCGGAUCCGACCUGACCCGGCCCGGCCGCCUCACGCUGCUCCCGCGCCCGCCUUUCGAACCGACCAAUCAGCCCCCGCGCCCUGCCCCGUCUAUCCAAUCACGAGGCUCCCCGCCUGCAGCACCGCCCGCCCCGCAGCGGGGUGAGUGAGGGGCGGCCUCGGGCAGAGCCAACGGGAAAGGGAAAAAUUCAGGGAAAAGAGGGUGUAUAGAGAAACCCUCCUCUCCUCCUGCCGCCUUCCCUGCCAGCCGCCUGGCUUUGGGGGGCCGUGCCGAGCUAAGCUCGGGUCUGCCUUCUGAGACCCUCCGCUCACCGCGCAACGUCGUCCGGAGCUCCCGGAGAGCUUUGGAAGGGCAGUAUUCUUUUAUAGAUCAAGUCCCUGUGAGCUACCACCUAUAUAAAAUUCUGUCCAUUUGGACUUAAAUUCUGGUAAGAGGGCCACUUGCAAUUCUUACUUUUCAUUAAAAUGUUAUUAAAAAGAAACUAAGGAAACCAAUGUCCUUUCUUCGUACACAUUGUUGUUUCUGUUGAAAUUUUUGUUUGUCAGAGUCAUUCCCCUCCAGCCAAAAGAUUUCAGCUUUCCCUGCUCAUUUAUAGACCAGUGUCUAGUCUGACAUUUCUAAGCAUCAGUUUAAUAUUAAGCACUGGCAGCACUGCUCCAUCAUAACUUCAGAAGUGCUUAAAGCCUUCAGAGAAGCACAGAAAGAUGUUUUGUUACUUAGUCCAUCACAUCCUACAAGAGCUGAGUGCUAGAACUUGAAACACUCUAAUAUUGAAUGUUAUUUAAAAAUUUCAGGAGUACAGAUCUAUGAACUGGUGUGACAGUUAAGACCUUUGAUUUGUAUCAUCUAUUCUACAAGAGGCACCAUUAGAAAAUCCCUUGAAGUUGUUAGAAGGCUGUUAACUAAUGAAGUGCACCAUCACCUCUGCUUAUGCCAUUGGUGGCUUUCAUCUAUGAUCUGAGAAUACUUUUGCAAACAAUGGCAGUGAUUACUGUUCUUAGUGUAGAA